AGCUGGUUCUCUAACUGAUGAUCAUUCCUCGGCGGCUGAUUAAAGCACCCCUCUUGAGAGUGUUUUUGUUUCUCUUUGGAAGAGUCCGGCACCUCCAAAGGAGGUAGCAUUUUCUUGGGCCCUUUUAAUUGAUUGUGUUCCUACACGGUCUAAUCUUGCGAUUCGUCAUGUACUAGAACCGCAAGCCCCAAGGAAUUGUGUUUUUU
Molecule: long non-coding RNA, 206 nt
Filed under: Medicago truncatula (barrel medic)
Lineage: Eukaryota; Viridiplantae; Streptophyta; Magnoliopsida; Fabales; Fabaceae
Description: lncRNA gene30237
Source: RNAcentral